CUGCGGAAGGGAUCAUUG
Molecule: ribosomal RNA, 18 nt
Filed under: Bellida graminea
Lineage: Eukaryota; Viridiplantae; Streptophyta; Magnoliopsida; Asterales; Asteraceae
Description: partial 18S ribosomal RNA
Source: RNAcentral